ACCUGCAUCGAAAGUGAUUAGGGUUUCCUUUGUGGCCCAGUCAUUGAUACUGCAGGAAGAACAAAAUGUUAAAGCUUUUCCCGUGUUUGCUGAUUGUGACCUGGUAUCAGCCAAACCCUGUGACUUUUGCACA
RNAcentral lists this small nucleolar RNA (133 nucleotides) under Xenopus laevis (African clawed frog). Its description in RNAcentral is "Small nucleolar RNA SNORA71". It matches the Rfam family "Small nucleolar RNA SNORA71". Rfam says of the family: The members of this family belong to the H/ACA class of snoRNAs which bind a number of proteins (including dyskerin, Gar1p and Nop10p) to form snoRNP complexes. This class of snoRNAs are thought to guide the sites of modification of uridines to pseudouridines by forming direct base pairing interactions with substrate RNAs. Lineage: Eukaryota; Metazoa; Chordata; Amphibia; Anura; Pipidae. The record is from Rfam by way of RNAcentral.